RNAcentral lists this ribosomal RNA (492 nucleotides) under uncultured bacterium. RNAcentral describes it as "partial 16S ribosomal RNA". It matches the Rfam family "Bacterial small subunit ribosomal RNA", at positions 28 to 507 of the family's 1533-position model. The record is from RNAcentral.
GAUGAACGCUAGCUACAGGCUUAACACAUGCAAGUCGAGGGGAAACGGCAUCGAAAGCUUGCUUUUGAUGGGCGUCGACCGGCGCACGGGUGAGUAACGCGUAUCCAACCUGCCCAUCACUUGGGAAUAACCUUGCGAAAGUAAGACUAAUGCCCAAUGACAUCCCACGAAGGCAUCCGAAUGGGAUUAAAGAUUUAUCGGUGAUGGAUGGGGAUGCGUCUGAUUAGCUUGUUGGCGGGGUGACGGCCCACCAAGGCAACGAUCAGUAGGGGUUCUGAGAGGAAGGUACCCCAGAAUGGAACCGCGGUACAGUCCAAAACCGUACGGGACGGAGCAGUGUGGAAGACUGGGGAAGGGGGGAUAGCCUGAACCAGCCAAGUAUGGUGCAGGAGGACUGCCCUAGUGGUGCUAAACUGCUUGUAAAAGGGAAUAAUGUGGGUCACGUGUGACUUUUUGAAUGUACCUUAUGAAUAAGGACCGGCUAAUUCCGUG